AGUAGGUGGAGCACGAGACUGUACAAACGAGGGGUGUCCCGCGAACUGAGCGGGAAAAGCCUGCCCACGAGACCCCCAAAGACUAGUAUAAAAAGGGGAUCACAGCGCAGUUUGAACACACUGGUGCCCUUUGGUGAGUGUGACUUCUCUCUCUCCCUGCUCUGCUUCAAAAGAGCUGUGCUGUAAACAUUCAGCAGGAGCAGGGGAGAGGAAGGAGCCUCAGUCCGGAGGAAAGCACCCGAAGAUUGAAAGCAAGCGGCGACCAGAAUAAGCACGGAGCUGCAUCGGAGGCAGCUGGGGGAGAGGAAGUGAAGAGCGGAGCCGCCGGGAGUGAAGAGACCAUCCAGACAGGAAACGGGGAAGGCGAGCGCAUCGGGAGACAACACCCAGAAGUGGUACAUCUUUGGUAAGAUCACCCACCUACAGAGUGCCUGUAUCCAGCGCCGCCCCACUGCUGCAGCCUCCGCUGACAGUGCGGCACCCACAAGUCUUCUCUGUAUACACCACCGUACAUAGGCCGCCUCCCCAGCUCCGCCCAGCCGUGCCUCCUCCGACUUUAUCUCCUCCUGCCGGAACCGCCUAGAGUAACUGGCUCUGCCUAGAGGCUGCUUCCCCAGCUCCGCCCGGCCGCGCCUCCUCCGACUUUAUCUCCGCCUGCCGAAGCCGCCUAGAGUAACUGGUUCUGCCUAGAGGCCGUUUCCCCAGCUCCGCCCGGCUGCGCCUCCUCUAACUUUAUCUCUGCCUGCCGGAGCCGCCCAGACUAGCUGGCACAAAUUAGGGGCCGUUUAUCAAGCUCCACCCGGCGGCGCCCCUUCCGUCUAUAUCUCCGCCUGCCGGCGCUGCCUCAUAGUAACUUAUAUAACAUCGAGGCUGCCUCCUAAGCUCCACCUGGCAUAAGCGGCUCCGCUGCUAAACUCCGCCUGCCAGUGCCGCUCAUGUUAAACAGCCAAGCAUAGAGGCCGUAUACAGAACUUCUCCCACCAGUGCUCAUUCAACACUCAGUGCCCCUGACCAGCGCAGCUAAACACUACAGUUCCAAGGGGCCGACAUGUUAGAUCCUGCUCUCAAAACCCUCCGGUCAGGGCCGCACAGCCAUUGAUACAGUCUGCUUACUUUAUGGACAGUGACCCAUCCACUGACCACCAAGCACCACCCAUUAACCUCAAGCCUCUAGAAAACUUUCAACUGCUCACCAAUGAGACUACACGGGGGUGUGGCCACUAUUGAAGUAUAGAGGCAAUGAGCAGGAGCCCAUUGUGAAGACAGCUAAGGCCCAUCAUAUCUGGUUGCAGAAACACAAGGGCCUGAUGUUGUUCCUGCAGACAUGACUGAAAUUAUCUUGGAGCCACUAGAUCCAUUGCAGCCUGAAGAACAACUUAACCACAUCAGAGAGAAGGCAGCAGGACACACCCUCACAUGACCUACCACGAAGACAUAUUCCAACUGCUGAUGAGCUUGCCCUGUCACUAGAUGCCUUCUGCAACAAACAGUUUGAUUUUAUGGAGACACAAACAAAACACCAACAAGGCAUGGUACACCAGUUGCACAAAAUUGCCACUUCAUGCCGAGUUGCAAAGGGCACACGCACCCAAAUGGACAACAACAUUGACCUACGGAUGUUUGAGCUAACUCAGGCACUUAGAACCCUAACAGAGGUGAUUCGCGCCCAAACUGAAGCCAUAAAAGUGCAAACAGAUACAAUGCUUGCACUACAAAGGCACAUGAUUACACCACAACCAAGUGUCCAAUGACACUCAGUUUCAAGUGCCAGUAGGCUGGCCUCCACCUCUGUGACUGUGUCUCCAACCACCCCACCCCAACCCAACAUAGUGUACGCACACGAGGAGGAGUUAAAGGCCAAGGCAAAGGUCGUGGCCUAGCAGAGUAGUAACACAUUUUUUUAUUAAAGAAUGUUGGCACAAAAAAAUACAUGUCUUAAGGGCUAAAAAAUUAAACCAUAUUUCUGAAUAAUAUGACUUGUUAAACAUUAUUUACAAAGUAAAGUUGUGUUAACCA
Pseudophryne corroboree (corroboree frog) is the source of this 2016-nucleotide long non-coding RNA. RefSeq lists it as uncharacterized. Lineage: Eukaryota; Metazoa; Chordata; Amphibia; Anura; Myobatrachidae. The transcript has 2 exons. The record is from RefSeq and is a predicted model, not a curated record.